RNAcentral lists this ribosomal RNA (498 nucleotides) under uncultured bacterium. Its description in RNAcentral is "partial 16S ribosomal RNA". It matches the Rfam family "Bacterial small subunit ribosomal RNA", at positions 28 to 507 of the family's 1533-position model. The record is from RNAcentral.
GACGAACGCUGGCGGCGUGCCUAAUACAUGCAAGUCGAACGAGAGCGACCGGUGCUUGCACUGGUCAAUCUAGUGGCGAACGGGUGAGUAACACGUGGGUAACCUGCCCAUCAGAGGGGGAUAACAUCCGGAAACGGAUGCUAAAACCGCAUAGGUCUUCGAGCCGCAUGGCUUGAAGAGGAAAAGAGGCGCAAGCUUCUGCUGAUGGAUGGACCCGCGGUGCAUUAGCUAGUUGGUGAGGUAACGGCUCACCAAGGCCGUGAUGCAUAGCCGACCUGAGAGGGUGAUCGGCCACAUUGGGACUGAGACACGGCCCAAACUCCUACGGGAGGCAGCAGUAGGGAAUCUUCCGCAAUGGAUGCAAGUCUGACGGAGCAACGCCGCGUGAGUGAAGAAGGUGUUCGGAUCGUAAAACUCUGUUGUUAGAGAAGAACAAGUGCUAGAGUAACUGUUAGCGCCUUGACGGUAUCUAACCAGAAAGCCACGGCUAACUACGUG